RNAcentral lists this ribosomal RNA (332 nucleotides) under uncultured bacterium. RNAcentral describes it as "bacterial SSU rRNA". It matches the Rfam family "Bacterial small subunit ribosomal RNA", at positions 568 to 898 of the family's 1533-position model. The record is from RNAcentral.
CGUGUAGGCGGUUCGUUAAGUCGGGUGUGAAAGCCCGGGGCUCAGCUCCGGAAGUGCGUCCGAAACUGGCGAGCUGGAGCGCGGUAGAGGAGGGUGGAAUUCCUGGUGUAGCGGUGAAAUGCGUAGAUAUCAGGAGGAACACCGGCGGCGAAGGCGGCCCUCUGGACCGUUGCUGACGCUGAGACGCGAAAGCGUGGGGAGCAAACAGGAUUAGAUACCCUGGUAGUCCACGCUGUAAACUAUGGGUACUAGGUGUUCGGGGUGUUGACCCCCUGAGUGCCGACGCUAACGCAUUAAGUACCCCGCCUGGGGACUACGGCCGCAAGGUUAAA